This 398-nucleotide transfer-messenger RNA is filed under the name Anaerolineales. RNAcentral describes it as "f E44-bin32 X2 Standard tmRNA". It matches the Rfam family "transfer-messenger RNA". Rfam says of the family: Bacterial tmRNA, also known as 10Sa RNA or SsrA, is named for its dual tRNA and mRNA-like properties. Its role is to liberate the mRNA from a stalled ribosome. To accomplish this part of the tmRNA is used as a reading frame that ends in a translation stop signal. The record is from RNAcentral. Lineage: Bacteria; Bacillati; Chloroflexota; Anaerolineae. RNAcentral also lists the same sequence under 1 other name.
GGGGAUGAAUGGUUUCGACGGAGGCGGAGUAUCGCGAGCUGCAGGCCGAGAGGCGCCGACCUCGUAAACUCAGCGCACCAACAAGUGCCACACGCACGAACUACGCGGCUCUCCCGCUCGCGGCCUAAACCCCGCGGACGCUGAGCCCGGUCCCGUCACAGGGGCCCGCCCCUCCGCACCUGCCUUGCCCGGUUACGGAGGAUGGCGACCAAUGGGCAGGGUGCGGCUCCUGGGCCACGCCAGGACGCCUAAGCCAGGCUCUCGGGCCUGAGUGGCUGGCUGCUGGAACCGAUCCGCCGGACGAUCGACUGGCAGCGAGAACCAAGCUCCGGCUAAGCCUGUAGACGCUCGACGAUCGAAACCCCCGGACGCGGGUUCGAUUCCCGCCAUCUCCACCA